This 432-nucleotide ribosomal RNA is filed under the name uncultured bacterium. Its description in RNAcentral is "partial 16S ribosomal RNA". It matches the Rfam family "Bacterial small subunit ribosomal RNA", at positions 29 to 507 of the family's 1533-position model. The record is from RNAcentral.
AACGAACGCUGGCGGCAUGCCUAGCACAUGCAAGUCGAACGAGACCUUCGGGUCUAGUGGCGCACGGGUGCGUAACGCGUGGGAACCUGCCCUUAGGUUCGGAAUAACUCCCCGAAAGGGGUGCUAAUACCGGAUAAUGUCUUCGGACCAAAGAUUUAUCGCCUUUGGAUGGGCCCGCGUUGGAUUAGCUAGUUGGUAGGGUAAAAGCCUACCAAGGCGACGAUCCAUAGCUGGUCUGAGAGGAGGAUCAGCCACACUGGGACUGGGACACGGCCCAGACUCCUACGGGAGGCAGCAGUGGGGAAUAUUGGACAAUGGCGAAAGCCUGAUCCAGCAAUGCCGCGUGAGUGAUGAAGGCCUUAGGGUUGUAAAGCUCUUUUACCCGGGAUGAUAAUGACAGUACCGGGAGAAUAAGCUCCGGCUAACUCCGUG